Molecule: ribosomal RNA, 468 nt
Filed under: uncultured bacterium
Lineage: Bacteria
Description: partial 16S ribosomal RNA
Rfam family: Bacterial small subunit ribosomal RNA
Source: RNAcentral
GACGAACGCUGGCGGCGUGCUUAACACAUGCAAGUCGAACGGAAAGGCCCUGCUUUUGUGGGGUGCUCGAGUGGCGAACGGGUGAGUAACACGUGAGUAACCUGCCCUUGACUUUGGGAUAACUUCAGGAAACUGGGGCUAAUACCGGAUAGGAGCCCCUGCUGCAUGGUGGGGGUUGGAAAGUUUCGGCGGUUGGGGAUGGACUCGCGGCUUAUCAGCUUGUUGGUGGGGUAGUGGCUUACCAAGGCUUUGACGGGUAGCCGGCCUGAGAGGGUGACCGGCCACAUUGGGACUGAGAUACGGCCCAGCCUCCUACGGGAGGCAGCAGUGGGGAAUAUUGCACAAUGGGCGGAAGCCUGAUGCAGGAACGCCGCGUGCGGGAUGACGACCUUCGGGUUGUAAACCGCUUUCGCCUGUGACGAAGCGUGAGUGACGGUAAUGGGUAAAGAAGCACCGGCUAACUACGUG